RNAcentral lists this ribosomal RNA (816 nucleotides) under Triticum aestivum (bread wheat). Its description in RNAcentral is "partial small subunit ribosomal RNA". The record is from RNAcentral. Lineage: Eukaryota; Viridiplantae; Streptophyta; Magnoliopsida; Poales; Poaceae.
AUGGCGUUCUCGUGGCCCUCGGCCCUCCGCCUCGCCGUCGGCGCCGCCCUGCUCACGGCCGCCGGCGUCGCGCUCUUCACGCUCCCCGUCGAGAAGAUUUUGAAGGAUUUUCUUGUUUGGAUCAAAGAGAACCUUGGUGCAUGGGGUCCUUUGGUAUUGGCCCUUGCUUACAUCCCUUUGACGGUCUUAGCUGUUCCAGCCUCAAUACUCACACUUGGGGGUGGUUAUCUAUUUGGCCUGCCCGUUGGGUUUGUUGCUGAUUCCAUUGGAGCGACAAUUGGCGCAACUGCUGCAUUUUUGCUUGGUAGAACGAUUGGAAGGCCGUAUGUUCUCUCCAAAUGCAAAGAUUACCCCAAGUUUCAAGCAGUAGCUAUAGCCAUUCAAAGGUCUGGCUUCAAGAUCGUGUUGCUACUACGGCUUGUACCUCUACUUCCAUUUAACAUGUUGAACUACCUGUUGUCUGUCACUCCUGUUGGCAUUGUGGAAUACAUGCUGGCAUCUUGGCUGGGAAUGAUGCCAAUCACUCUCGCCUUGGUAUAUGUGGGAACAACAUUAAAAGAUCUAUCAGAUGUGACACAUGGAUGGAGUGAGAUCUCGACUACCAGAUGGGUUCUCAUAAUUUCUGGCUUUGCAAUGUCCAUUCUCUUGAUUAUAUGCGUCACAAGAGUCGCAAAAUCUGCUCUGGACAAGGCGCUGGCAGAGAAUGGGGAGGCGGAUCUAGGAGCCCCGCAGCUUCCGGUGGCGGCCUCUCCCUCGGACCUGCAUCAACCUCUUGUAAUCAGGAUUGACACCUCGAAUGAAGAUCACGAGAAGUAA